Molecule: long non-coding RNA, 326 nt
Filed under: Phascolarctos cinereus (koala)
Lineage: Eukaryota; Metazoa; Chordata; Mammalia; Diprotodontia; Phascolarctidae
Description: lncRNA (ENSPCIG00000032179.1)
Source: RNAcentral
AGGACAGAUACAUUUAAAUCUCCUUAACAGAAGGAUGUUAACUGUAGGAGAGAUCUAUCCUGGGAAUACAUAGUACUUUAAGAUAUGCUCAACAAGAAUAUAUUAAGCAACAACUAAGUGUGAAGCAUGUGGAUGGACAGAGCUUCUGAUUACAGGCCAAGCGUGUUCAAAUCUUGCAAAGGUGUAAAUGAGGACAGCCUAAGGCAGACAAUGAAGGGCUUGCCAGACCAAGAAACCUGUAUUUUGCCAACCUGUUCAGGAUUUGAUUACUUUUAAAAGCCCAAGCUACAAAUAAAAACUUCAACAAUCUCUGUGUAAUGAAAAAG